UGCCAUCACCCAAGCAGAUCGAGAGCUUUCUUCAAGACAGGUCUGAACCUGUUCAAAUCAAUCUUGACAUUUUGUUUCUUCAUGUAUAUGUUCGCCAUCGCGAGCCAUCCAAGCUUGUGAAUCGAGUCCGGGUCUCUAAAGACGGGAUCGUCUCUCGGGUACUGCUCCGAAAGAGUGCUUUCCUAUUGGCUGAUGGUGUACUGCAGGUAAUGCAGCUUGGCAGCCAUGGGAGGGUCUCCGUAAUCGUGUUUGGCCAUCCCUUCCAGGUUACCUAAAGGGACGACUUGGAUGACCACAGCAUUUGUCGGCAGGAAGAAGAAAUUAGUGAGCCCGGAGCCAUGCACGCCGAGCAUCACGUCGCAUGAGUUCACGGUCGCUGCGUACUCGCUCACGUUGGCUUCGAACUUCGCAUCUGCCACCACCACCUCGUAACUCAACUCCUCGGCCAUCCGAACGAUCUCUUUGACGUUGGUGAACUUCCUGGUGCCCUUCCUGGCUAUGAGCAGCAGCCUCGGUUUCUUGCCCGCCUGUUCUCCCAUCCUAAUGCCGGAUUCCCUUACGAGCGAGUAAGCCAUCCUUAUGAACUCGGUGUAGUCAGCGGUGGAGUACCCGUUUGGUGUUCUUGCAGGGUCGACCUUCAAGUCGUCGUGGCUGUGCAGGCCGACGAACACAAGCGGGUAGCAGAGGACUCGAUCGUUCUUGUCCAAAUCGAUGAUCUCGUACCUAGUAAGCUUUUCGACGAUGUGGCGGUACUUGAAGAGCC
Molecule: long non-coding RNA, 763 nt
Filed under: Musa acuminata (dwarf banana)
Lineage: Eukaryota; Viridiplantae; Streptophyta; Magnoliopsida; Zingiberales; Musaceae
Description: long non-coding RNA (MACU_LNC006222)
Source: RNAcentral